This is a non-coding RNA of Phrynosoma platyrhinos (Desert horned lizard), 71 nucleotides long. Lineage: Eukaryota; Metazoa; Chordata; Lepidosauria; Squamata; Phrynosomatidae. The record is from the annotation of a GenBank genome assembly.
GCCAGCAUAGUGUAAUGGUUUGAGAGUUGGACUAGGACUCUGGAGAUCAGGGUUCAAAUCCCUUCUUGGUA